Molecule: long non-coding RNA, 1976 nt
Organism: Paramormyrops kingsleyae
Lineage: Eukaryota; Metazoa; Chordata; Actinopteri; Osteoglossiformes; Mormyridae
Source: RefSeq, a predicted model, not a curated record
GUAAACAAGUCAUUUAUGCUAAACAUCGGAUGUCUAUUCGAUAUUUGCGUAUUUCUUAAAGAUAACUGGAACGGUUUAACCCUCUAGUCCAUUGCUUCAGGGUAACAUACCCAUUUUCCCUCAGUUUCCCAGGCACAAUAAAUCAUACACCAAUAAAAAUGUUCAUUUGUAAUCUGGAGGAAGUAUAAGAAGCCAAUAGUCUGCUUGUAUUUGAUCACAUGACUUGUCCCAUCCCUCUUUUCAAUCUCUUUUCCUCACUUGUACUCACAUGUGGCAGCCAUGUUUUUUCAGCUCCACAAAACUUUGAAAAAGUGACGUUAUCUUGAGGAUUUCCAUAAAAUAAAAAAUAUUUUCACAAUUUUGGACAUAGAUCUGCAGAGCUUCAAAGAAACGAAGAGCCUGUUGGAUGGGAUAAUUUCCUGUAUGGGAUUUGAGAAAAAUGCAGAUUUAUUUCUGCACUUUGUUCUUUUUUCUACCCUUGGUUAAUAAUAAAAAGCAAGUUAAAUUUGGGGAACCCGUUACUUUAGAUUGCUUUCAAAGCAAGGAACCUGUCACCUACAUUUACUGGACAUAUAAAAAUGUAACUGCAAAUGUUAAAGGGAAAGAAAUACUUUCAUUCAUAAAUAACAAGAUUACAAUAAAGCCAUCAUUUGAAAAUUUAAUUAGUCCAGCAGGAGACUUCAAAAAAGGAAAUUUUUCCAUAACAUUAAGGCCAAUCACCUUUGAGUAUGGUGGGCAAUAUGUAUGUUUUACCCAAAUAAAUGGAUCAAAUGCUAAUCAAACAUCAGUGUUCGACAUAGAUGUUAUUGGCUGGGAUCAACAUGCCAGUGUUCCUUCUGGAAACAUAUUAAAUUUAUAUCUGCACUCAAAUGAGUCUGUGCAAUUGGACUUCUGGAGAAAUGGAGAAAAGCACAACGUUGGCAAAAUACAAAUUAAUUCCCAAAAAUGUGACCUGGACAACAGAUACAAGAACCGUUUCGAAUUGGGGAAUGAGGUGCUAAGAAUACAUCGUGUCACUCCUGACGAUGCUGGUGUCUACACGGUGCAAGAUGAACGUUCUGGAAAAAACAUUAGCAUUGUAAGACUGGAAAUAACUAAUCCAAAAGAUUUGUCAAAUUCCACCAGCAAGAACAGUACAGAACAAGGUAAUAUACCUGUGUUGGGUUUUUAAGGUAUAUUUCAAUUUCUAAGGUAAUAUGCUUCAUUUUUAACAUAGUCUCUGUGUGUUUUUUAGGCACCUCUAAGGCACGUAUAUGUGUUUAUGUGAUGAUUCCACUAUUCAUAUGUUGCAUCAUAGCUGCCCUCAUUUAUUUCUGUAAGAACUACAGAAUUGAUAGAUCUAUGAAAGGUAGAAGAUUCAAUGUUACAUACCGACACACACAACAAGAAGAUAAUUAGAAAUUCAAAUAAGAAGAGGAAAGGGGUGUGUGCCGUUCCUGAUAUCUUUGGAAGAGGAUGAAGGUGCUCUCCGUCUUGCUUUAUGGCUGUGACACAUGGACACUAUCCAGUGACCUGAGACGAAGACUGGACUCCUUCGGCACUGUGUCUAUUCGGAGAAUCCUUGGUUACUGCUGGGUUGACUUUGUGUAGAGCGAGCGGUUGCUAGAGGAGUCCCGAAUGAGGCACAUUACCUGCAUUGUGAGGGAGCGUCAGUUACGGCACUAUGGCUAUGUGGCGUGUUUCCCUGAGGGUGAACAUCCUCUCAGGAUGUUCAUUGCUGAGGAUCAGGCCAAAGGCAUGCCCACAUGACACCUAGCUGUAGAUAAUGGAUGACCAUUUCUGGAGGGUGGGACUGGACUGUGUGUUUGUCUGGGGGGUCACCAGCCAGGAUCCUGAGGUGUUUCAUCAUGUAGUGCAUGCUUCCCAGCCUGACACCUCAGGUUUGCUCACUGGAGGCUUUGGGCAGGGACAAUACAAAGUACUUUGUAAAAUGAUUGUGAAAAUGCACUGUACAAGUAAAAUGAAACUGAAUUGAA